GAAAUGCGAUAAGUAGUGUGAAUUGCAGAAUUCAGUGAAUCAUCGAAUCUUUGAACGCACAUUGCGCCUCCUGGUACUCCGGGAGGCAUGCCUGUUCGAGCGUCAUUAAAAAACCACUCAAGCCAUUUGCGCUUGGUAUUGGGAGAGGAGCGCGCCCGUCGCCCUCCCUUCCGAAAUCCAAUGGCGGAAAGCCCCACGUGCCCCGGCGUAGUAAGUUCUCUUUCGUCAGGAACGUGAGGCGAUCCUGCCCUCAACCCCCAAUCAUAAUCUCAGGUUGACCUCGGAUCAGGUAGGGAUACCCGCUGAACUUAA
RNAcentral lists this unclassified non-coding RNA (312 nucleotides) under uncultured Pyronemataceae. RNAcentral's name for it is "sequence contains ITS1". The stretch from base 1 to 105 matches the Rfam family "5.8S ribosomal RNA", at positions 50 to 154 of the family's 154-position model. The record is from RNAcentral. Lineage: Eukaryota; Fungi; Ascomycota; Pezizomycetes; Pezizales; Pyronemataceae.